This 445-nucleotide ribosomal RNA is filed under the name uncultured bacterium. Its description in RNAcentral is "partial 16S ribosomal RNA". It matches the Rfam family "Bacterial small subunit ribosomal RNA", at positions 338 to 795 of the family's 1533-position model. The record is from RNAcentral.
CCUACGGGUGGCAGCAGUAGGGAAUUUUUCACAAUGGGCGAAAGCCUGAUGGAGCAACGCCGCGUGCAGGAUGAAGGCCUUCGGGUUGUAAACCCCUGUCAUGUGGGAGCAAAUUAAAAAGAUAGUACCACAAGAGGAAGAGACGGCUAACUCUGUGCCAGCAGCCGCGGUAAUACAGAGGUCUCAAGCGUUGUUCGGAAUCACUGGGCGUAAAGCGUGCGUAGGCUGUUUCGUAAGUCGUGUGUGAAAGGCGCGGGCUCAACCCGCGGACGGCACAUGAUACUGCGAGACUAGAGUAAUGGAGGGGGAACCGGAAUUCUCGGUGUAGCAGUGAAAUGCGUAGAUAUCGAGAGGAACACUCGUGGCGAAGGCGGGUUCCUGGACAUUAACUGACGCUGAGGCACGAAGGCCAGGGGAGCGAAAGGGAUUAGAUAUCCGGGUAGUC